RNAcentral lists this ribosomal RNA (504 nucleotides) under uncultured bacterium. RNAcentral's name for it is "partial 16S ribosomal RNA". It matches the Rfam family "Bacterial small subunit ribosomal RNA", at positions 29 to 523 of the family's 1533-position model. The record is from RNAcentral.
AUUGAACGCUGGCGGCAGGCCUAACACAUGCAAGUCGAACGGUAGCACAGAGAGCUUGCUCUCGGGUGACGAGUGGCGGACGGGUGAGUAACGUCUGGGAAACUGCCCGAUGGAGGGGGAUAACUACUGGAAACGGUACCUAAUACCGCAUAACGUCGCAAGACCAAAGUGGGGGACCUUCGGGCCUCACACCAUCGGAUGUGCCCAGACGGGAUUAGCUAGUAGGUGGGGUAAUGGCUCACCUAGGCGACGAUCCCUAGCUGGUCUGAGAGGAUGACCAGCCACACUGGCACUGAGACACGGUCCAGACUCCUACGGGAGGCAGCAGUGGGGAAUAUUGCACAAUGGGCGCAAGCCUGAUGCAGCCAUGCCGCGUGUAUGAAGAAGGCCCUCGGGUUGUAAAGUACUUUCAGCGGGGAGGAAGGCGGUGAAGUUAAUAACUUCACCGAUUGACGUUACCCGCAGAAGAAGCACCGGCUAACUCCGUGCCAGCCGCCGCGGUAA